UCUUCUCAGUUGGCGCUAAUGGAUCUGGCAAGACGAACUUUUUCCAUGCAAUUCGUUUCGUACUAAGUGAUCUCUUCCAAAACCUGCGCAGUGAAGAUAGACAUGCACUACUUCACGAAGGUGCAGG
Long non-coding RNA from Vitis riparia (riverbank grape), 127 nucleotides. RefSeq lists it as uncharacterized. The transcript is spliced from 3 exons. The record is from RefSeq and is a predicted model, not a curated record. NCBI's taxonomy places the organism in Eukaryota, Viridiplantae, Streptophyta, Magnoliopsida, Vitales, Vitaceae.